RNAcentral lists this transfer RNA (85 nucleotides) under Candidatus Falkowiibacteriota bacterium. RNAcentral describes it as "tRNA-Leu". It matches the Rfam family "tRNA". Rfam says of the family: Transfer RNA (tRNA) molecules are approximately 80 nucleotides in length. Their secondary structure includes four short double-helical elements and three loops (D, anti-codon, and T loops). Further hydrogen bonds mediate the characteristic L-shaped molecular structure. tRNAs have two regions of fundamental functional importance: the anti-codon, which is responsible for specific mRNA codon recognition, and the 3' end, to which the tRNAs corresponding amino acid is attached (by aminoacyl-tRNA synthetases). tRNAs cope with the degeneracy of the genetic code in two manners: having more than one tRNA (with a specific anti-codon) for a particular amino acid; and 'wobble' base-pairing, i.e. permitting non-standard base-pairing at the 3rd anti-codon position. Lineage: Bacteria; Candidatus Falkowiibacteriota. The record is from RNAcentral.
GGGCGGGUGGUGAAAUUGGUAGACACGCCAGUCUUAGGAACUGGUGGCUUCGGCCGUGAAGGUUCAAGUCCUUUCCCGCCCACCA